Small nuclear RNA from Erinaceus europaeus (western European hedgehog), 105 nucleotides. NCBI's taxonomy places the organism in Eukaryota, Metazoa, Chordata, Mammalia, Eulipotyphla, Erinaceidae. The record is from Ensembl.
CUUUUUAAAAAGAUAAUAAUCACUAAAAAUGGAACAAUACAGAGAAGAUUAGCAUGGCCCCUGCACAAGGAUAACAUGCAAAUUUGUGAAGCGUUCCAUAUUUUU